This 94-nucleotide transfer RNA is filed under the name Acidobacteriota bacterium. Its description in RNAcentral is "Acidobacteria bacterium tRNA-Sec". It matches the Rfam family "tRNA". From Rfam's summary of the family: Transfer RNA (tRNA) molecules are approximately 80 nucleotides in length. Their secondary structure includes four short double-helical elements and three loops (D, anti-codon, and T loops). Lineage: Bacteria; Pseudomonadati; Acidobacteriota. The record is from RNAcentral.
GGACUAAAGGUCGGUUGGUUAAGGCGCUCCCCUUCAAACUAAGGGGUGUUCUUUAAAGUGAGAGGUGCGGGUUCAAAUCCUGCUUAGUCCACCA